UGCCUCCUGUGGUUACCCUGUUCAUCCAGGCCCUGUAUGGUGAAACAAGUCACUUAGCUGCUUAUUCUCAUCCAAAGAACAGGUGAAGACAAAGUAGGAGCAGAAGCAGAGGCUGUUGGCCCAGGCUGAGGAGCAUUAAUCAUGGAGAGACCAUCUAUCCUUCACACAAGUGCCAAUGCUGUUUCUUCUUUGAUGGGAAACAAGAAUGUUUAGCUAGUGAUGAACAUUCAAGAUGUAGACCCUGUUAGUCUGAUGGCCCUUUUGACUGCCUUAUAUUCUACAAUAGAAUCCUCUACUGAAUAUUCAAGAAAGCGGGCUGUGGUACCUGAAGCACUGGGAGACUUGUGGUAGCAUUGCUUUCACAGAUGUGAACUUGGAAGACAAAGACGUUCAGGCUAAGCUGGUAGAAGCUAUCAGGAUGAGUCACAACAUCUGAGAGGAUAUCCACCAUCAACUAGGGACUCAUCUUGGACAAAAGUUUAUGGCUUGAACUGCCAAACUGGAAAAGUCGAAGUUGAAAUAAAUCAUUAUCAAA
Molecule: long non-coding RNA, 535 nt
Filed under: Mus musculus (house mouse)
Lineage: Eukaryota; Metazoa; Chordata; Mammalia; Rodentia; Muridae
Description: long non-coding RNA chr4:30193646-30194181
Source: RNAcentral